GAUGAACGCUGGCGGCGUGCUUAACACAUGCAAGUCGAACGGUGAAGGCGGAGCUUGCUCUGCUGGAUCAGUGGCGAACGGGUGAGUAACACGUGAGCAAUCUGCCCCUGACUCUGGGAUAAGCGCUGGAAACGGCGUCUAAUACUGGAUACGAGCUGCGAAGGCAUCUUCAGCAGCUGGAAAGAACUUCGGUCAGGGAUGAGCUCGCGGCCUAUCAGCUUGUUGGUGAGGUAACGGCUCGCCAAGGCGUCGACGGGUAGCCGGCCUGAGAGGGUGACCGGCCACACGGGGACUGAGACCCGGCCCAGACCCCUAGGGGGGGAAGAGGGGGGGAAUAUUGCAAAAGGGGGGAAAGCCGGAUGCACAAACGCCGGGGGGGGGACGAGGGCCUUGGGGUGGAAAACCUUUUUGGGGGGGAAAGAAGGGAAAGGGAGGGUACCGGCAAAAAAAGGCCGGGCUAACUAGGU
This 467-nucleotide ribosomal RNA is filed under the name uncultured bacterium. RNAcentral describes it as "partial 16S ribosomal RNA". It matches the Rfam family "Bacterial small subunit ribosomal RNA", at positions 28 to 506 of the family's 1533-position model. The record is from RNAcentral.